This 1368-nucleotide ribosomal RNA is filed under the name uncultured beta proteobacterium. RNAcentral's name for it is "bacterial SSU rRNA". It matches the Rfam family "Bacterial small subunit ribosomal RNA", at positions 29 to 1395 of the family's 1533-position model. Lineage: Bacteria; Pseudomonadati; Pseudomonadota; Betaproteobacteria. The record is from RNAcentral.
UUGAACGCUGGCGGCAUGCCUUACACAUGCAAGUCGAACGGCAGCACGGGUGCUUGCACCUGGUGGCGAGUGGCGAACGGGUGAGUAAUACAUCGGAACAUGUCCUGUAGUGGGGGAUAGCCCGGCGAAAGCCGGAUUAAUACCGCAUACGAUCUACGGAUGAAAGCGGGGGACCUUCGGGCCUCGCGCUAUAGGGUUGGCCGAUGGCUGAUUAGCUAGUUGGUGGGGUAAAGGCCUACCAAGGCGACGAUCAGUAGCUGGUCUGAGAGGACGACCAGCCACACUGGGACUGAGACACGGCCCAGACUCCUACGGGAGGCAGCAGUGGGGAAUUUUGGACAAUGGGCGAAAGCCUGAUCCAGCAAUGCCGCGUGUGUGAAGAAGGCCUUCGGGUUGUAAAGCACUUUUGUCCGGAAAGAAAUCCUUGGCUCUAAUACAGUCGGGGGAUGACGGUACCGGAAGAAUAAGCACCGGCUAACUACGUGCCAGCAGCCGCGGUAAUACGUAGGGUGCGAGCGUUAAUCGGAAUUACUGGGCGUAAAGCGUGCGCAGGCGGUUUGCUAAGACCGAUGUGAAAUCCCCGGGCUCAACCUGGGAACUGCAUUGGUGACUGGCAGGCUAGAGUAUGGCAGAGGGGGGUAGAAUUCCACGUGUAGCAGUGAAAUGCGUAGAGAUGUGGAGGAAUACCGAUGGCGAAGGCAGCCCCCUGGGCCAAUACUGACGCUCAUGCACGAAAGCGUGGGGGAGCAAACAGGAUUAGAUACCCUGGUAGUCCACGCCCUAAACGAUGUCAACUAGUUGUUGGGGAUUCAUUUCCUUAGUAACGUAGCUAACGCGUGAAGUUGACCGCCUGGGGAGUACGGUCGCAAGAUUAAAACUCAAAGGAAUUGACGGGGACCCGCACAAGCGGUGGAUGAUGUGGAUUAAUUCGAUGCAACGCGAAAAACCUUACCUACCCUUGACAUGGUCGGAAUCCCGCUGAGAGGUGGGAGUGCUCGAAAGAGAACCGGCGCACAGGUGCUGCAUGGCUGUCGUCAGCUCGUGUCGUGAGAUGUUGGGUUAAGUCCCGCAACGAGCGCAACCCUUGUCCUUAGUUGCUACGCAAGAGCACUCUAAGGAGACUGCCGGUGACAAACCGGAGGAAGGUGGGGAUGACGUCAAGUCCUCAUGGCCCUUAUGGGUAGGGCUUCACGCGUCAUACAAUGGUCGGAACAGAGGGUUGCCAACCCGCGAGGGGGAGCUAAUCCCAGAAAACCGAUCGUAGUCCGGAUUGCACUCUGCAACUCGAGUGCAUGAAGCUGGAAUCGCUAGUAAUCGCGGAUCAGCAUGCCGCGGUGAAUACGUUCCCGGGUCUUGUACUCACCGCCC